Molecule: ribosomal RNA, 569 nt
Filed under: uncultured Planctomycetota bacterium
Lineage: Bacteria; Pseudomonadati; Planctomycetota
Description: bacterial SSU rRNA
Rfam family: Bacterial small subunit ribosomal RNA
Source: RNAcentral
UGGCUGCAGUCGAGGAUCUUCGGCAAUGGGCGAAAGCCUGACCGAGCGACGCCGCGUGGACGAUGAAGGCCUUCGGGUUGUAAAGUCCUGUCGAGGGGGAUCAAGGGCAACUUGAGUGAUCCCUGGAGGAAGCACGGGCUAAGUUCGUGCCAGCAGCCGCGGUAAGACGAACCGUGCAAACGUUAUUCGGAAUCACUGGGCAUAAAGGGCGCGUAGGCGGCUCAACAAGUCAGGGGUGAAAUCCGGCAGCUCAACUGUCGCAGUGCCUUUGAUACUGUCGAGCUCGAGGGAGGUAGGGGUCUGUGGAACUUCCGGUGGAGCGGUGAAAUGCGUUGAUAUCGGAAGGAACGCCGGUGGCGAAAGCGACAGACUGGACCUUUUCUGACGCUGAGGCGCGAAAGCCAGGGGAGCAAACGGGAUUAGAUACCCCGGUAGUCCUGGCCCUAAACGAUGGGUACUAGAUUGCGGACUUACAUGGGUUCGCAGUCGAAGCUAAUGUAUUAAGUACCCCGCCUGGGGAGUAUGGUCGCAAGGCUGAAACUCAAAGGAAUUGACGGGGGCUCACACAA